UAGGGAAUCUUCCGCAAUGGACGAAAGUCUGACGGAGCAACGCCGCGUGAGUGAAGAAGGAUUUCGGUUCGUAAAACUCUGUUGUUAGGGAAGAAAAAAUGUAUAGUAACUAUAUACAAAAGAGACGGUACCUAACCAGAAAGCCACGGCUAACUACGUGCCAGCAGCCGCGGUAAUACGUAGGUGGCAAGCGUUGUCCGGAAUUAUUGGGCGUAAAGCGCGCGCAGGUGGUUUAGAAAGUCUGAUGUGAAAGCCCACGGCUCAACCGUGGAGAGUCAUUGGAAACUAAUAAACUUGAGUGCAGGAGAGAAAAGUGGAAUUCCUAGUGUAGCGGUGAAAUGCGUAGAGAUUAGGAGGAACACCGGUGGCGAAAGCGGCUUUUUGGCCUGCAACUGACACUGAGGCGCGAAAGAGUGGGGAGCAAACAGG
This 429-nucleotide ribosomal RNA is filed under the name Verrucomicrobiota bacterium. RNAcentral's name for it is "Verrucomicrobia bacterium partial 16S ribosomal RNA". It matches the Rfam family "Bacterial small subunit ribosomal RNA", at positions 355 to 776 of the family's 1533-position model. Lineage: Bacteria; Pseudomonadati; Verrucomicrobiota. The record is from RNAcentral.